Molecule: unclassified non-coding RNA, 221 nt
Filed under: uncultured Basidiomycota
Lineage: Eukaryota; Fungi; Basidiomycota
Description: sequence contains ITS2
Rfam family: 5.8S ribosomal RNA (bases 1-52)
Source: RNAcentral
AACGCAACUUGCGCCCUCUGGUAUUCCGGAGGGCAUGCCUGUUUGAGUGUCAUGUAGAAUCAUCUAAUCAGGUUUCUGAUCAAGGUGGAUUUGGGAGCUUUUGCCAUUUACUUGGCUCUCCUUAAAAGCAUUUAUGCAGACGUAAUAAGUUUCGUCGUACGCAUAUAUUCUAUAUUUUGUACUCUGGCCUCAAAUCAGGUAGGGCUACCCGCUGAACUUAA